RNAcentral lists this non-coding RNA (23 nucleotides) under Mus musculus (house mouse). The record is from RNAcentral. Lineage: Eukaryota; Metazoa; Chordata; Mammalia; Rodentia; Muridae.
UGAAUCAAGUGAGGCACUGCUUA